This 285-nucleotide unclassified non-coding RNA is filed under the name Ascomycota sp. Its description in RNAcentral is "partial contains 5.8S ribosomal RNA, internal transcribed spacer 2, and large subunit ribosomal RNA". The stretch from base 1 to 71 matches the Rfam family "5.8S ribosomal RNA", at positions 84 to 154 of the family's 154-position model. Lineage: Eukaryota; Fungi; Ascomycota. The record is from RNAcentral.
GUGAGUCAUCGAAUCUUUGAACGCAUAUUGCACCCUCUGGUAUUCCGGGGGGUACACCUGUCCGAGCGCCAUUUCAACCCUCAAGCAUAGCUUGGUGUUGGGCAAGGUCCCCCGAUGGACCGGCCUGUAACUCUUUAGGCGGCAAGACGCCCGCUCCCCCAGCGUAGCAGGCUUACGCAUCCGCUCGGGGACGAGCUCUAGGUCCGCCUCUCAACCCCUUCAAAAGGUUGGCCUCGGAUCAGGUGGGGAUACCCGCUGAACUUAAGCAUAUCAAUAAGCGGAGGA